CUCUGCCACUCGGACACUGCGGUUCCUUGGCGCCGUCCACACCCAUCGACGACUGCUCGCUGCGUUUUUUUGCU
Molecule: small RNA, 74 nt
Filed under: Xanthomonas floridensis
Lineage: Bacteria; Pseudomonadati; Pseudomonadota; Gammaproteobacteria; Lysobacterales; Lysobacteraceae
Description: sX9 sRNA
Rfam family: Xanthomonas sRNA sX9
Source: RNAcentral